This 340-nucleotide unclassified non-coding RNA is filed under the name Hevea brasiliensis (rubber tree). The record is from RNAcentral. Lineage: Eukaryota; Viridiplantae; Streptophyta; Magnoliopsida; Malpighiales; Euphorbiaceae.
AGGAUACAUAUAAGAAUUGGUAAACCUCUAGAAAUGAAAAUUACCUAUAUUGUACAAGACAGCUGCGACAACGAUCCAGGUGACAGUACUGCUUCUUACUUUGUCGCUGAACUAAUCAGUAAGUAUGCGAGACAAAUUGAAUAGGCUUAGCUCUAACUAAGAGGCACGUUGAGGAUAGCUGCAUCCCAGUGUGUCAACAGUUUUGUGUGGCGACGAUGUGCUUCUUUAUGCUUGUAAAUACGACCUUGCUAAAUGGUAGUGAAUGAAUCCUUCAGAAACUUACUAUACACAGAGUGACAGAUGAACACCAGAAGACCUGUCAAGUUUAACUGUUGCCUUA